AAAAAUACACUAAAUAUAUACUGAAAAUUAGAGGCGACCAAAACUCUAGAAAUUCACUAUUCCAUUGGAUUUUUAGAGUGAUCUUAAGUUCCAAGUUCUGAAGUAAUACUCCAGCUUAUAUUAAGUCAAAAAUGGUUUGAAUUGUCUUACUAAUUCAGUAGUUGAAGCUUCAGGAGUUCCUUGGACUGAUUUCUGUAUUUUGAUUUGGUUUAUUCAAGCUGGUUUUGGGUUGUUCCUGGUGUUUUUUCAUCUGAAACUAAGGCCUGGGCUGUUUUGAUAUUAUUUUCUGGGUUUUAAGACUGAUCUUAUUGCUGCUGUUCCUUGUUUCCAAGAUAACCCUCCGUUUCCUAUUUUCUAUCCAUACAUCCAGGUACAUUUUUAGUCCCAAGUGAUGUAUGAAUGUUAAAUCAAAUGCAUUCUCAAGUCUGAAGUUAAUGGCUAUCUACUUCCCCAUGAACUCCCUACUAUUUUUCUGCCUUAAUUUUGACCUAGUUUUGUGUUUUUUUGGACAUUGCCUCAGUUGUAAUAAUGGGACUUUUGGACUACUUUCAGAAUUAUGAAUAUCCUGUUUAGAAAUAUUAGCUUAAGUGCAGCAUUCACUUUUGAACCUACAAUCAUGUAAGUUUGAAUGUUAAAACUGGACUAUAGUGUUACAUAAGCGAGUGUUGCCUGCAAAUGCCUAUUUGAAUGAACUUGAAUAUCAAAAUUGGAAUUAUGUUUAGCUUUAGUUCAAUAAAUGCUUUAGGGUUUACA
Molecule: long non-coding RNA, 753 nt
Filed under: Nicotiana benthamiana
Lineage: Eukaryota; Viridiplantae; Streptophyta; Magnoliopsida; Solanales; Solanaceae
Description: long non-coding RNA (NBEN_LNC041679)
Source: RNAcentral